AGAACGAACGCUGGCGGCAGGCUUAACACAUGCAAGUCGAACGCCCCGCGAGGGGAGUGGCAGACGGGUGAGUAACGCGUGGGAAUCUACCCAGAACUUCGGAACAACUGAGGGAAACUUCAGCUAAUACCGGAUACGCCCUACGGGGGAAAGAUUUAUCGGUUCUGGAUGAGCCCGCGUUGGAUUAGCUAGUUGGUGGGGUAAUGGCCCACCAAGGCGACGAUCCAUAGCUGGUCUGAGAGGAUGAUCAGCCACACUGGGACUGAGACACGGCCCAGACUCCUACGGGAGGCAGCAGUGGGGAAUAUUGGACAAUGGGCGAAAGCCUGAUCCAGCCAUGCCGCGUGAGUGAUGAAGGCCUUAGGGUUGUAAAGCUCUUUCAGUAGGGAAGAUAAUGACGGUACCUACAGAAGAAGCCCCGGCUAACUUCGUGCCAGCAGCCGC
Molecule: ribosomal RNA, 444 nt
Filed under: uncultured bacterium
Lineage: Bacteria
Description: SSU rRNA
Rfam family: Bacterial small subunit ribosomal RNA
Source: RNAcentral